Molecule: ribosomal RNA, 483 nt
Filed under: uncultured bacterium
Lineage: Bacteria
Description: partial 16S ribosomal RNA
Rfam family: Bacterial small subunit ribosomal RNA
Source: RNAcentral
GACGAACGCUGGCGGCGUGCUUAACACAUGCAAGUCGAACGCUGAAGCUCAGCUUUUGUUGGGUGGAUGAGUGGCGAACGGGUGAGUAACACGUGAGUAACCUGCCCCCUUCUUUGGGAUAACGCCCGGAAACGGGUGCUAAUACUGGAUAUUCACUGGUCUUCGCAUGGGGGUUGGUGGAAAGGGUUUUUCUGGUGGGGGAUGGGCGCGCGGCCUAUCAGCUUGUUGGUGGGGUGAUGGCCUACCAAGGCUUUGACGGGUAGCCGGCCUGAGAGGGUGACCGGUCACAUUGGGACUGAGAUACGGCCCAGACUCCUACGGGAGGCAGCAGUGGGGAAUAUUGCACAAUGGGCGCAAGCCUGAUGCAGCGACGCCGCGUGAGGGAUGGAGGCCUUCGGGUUGUGAACCUCUUUCGCUCAUGGUCAAGCCGCAACAAUGGUUGUGGUGAGGGUAGUGGGUAAAGAAGCGCCGGCUAACUACGUG